Molecule: long non-coding RNA, 394 nt
Filed under: Lathyrus oleraceus (garden pea)
Lineage: Eukaryota; Viridiplantae; Streptophyta; Magnoliopsida; Fabales; Fabaceae
Description: Pisum sativum (pea) long non-coding RNA (PSAT_LNC014200)
Source: RNAcentral
AUAAAUUAAACCAAGGAAAUAAAACUAGAAUCUAACGUAAGGUUAGAUCCGAUAAAAAGUUGCACAAUAGUUUCCGGUGUAGAAACUAUUAUGCGAAAAAUAUCUAAAUGCUAAAAGGGGAAAGGUAAAUUGCAAGGGAAAAAGAAUGUAGAACUUGCAAAAGAAAUAAAUAAAAUAAACGAUGUUAAGUUGCUGGAAAAGAAAAAAUAAGCAAAAGCGUGAAAAGAAAAUUGGCAAAGCUUCGGCAAUAUGAGCGUGGAAAAACCGAGGAACCCUUUUAGGUUUUAGAGAUAGCUAUUUAUAUUGGUGCUGGUAACUGCUUUCCGUUUCUCAAGUUCUUCAACGUGGCUAAAUGCACGGCGUGGAUAUAGGACACAAACUCCUCAACGUCUCU